This 499-nucleotide ribosomal RNA is filed under the name uncultured bacterium. Its description in RNAcentral is "bacterial SSU rRNA". It matches the Rfam family "Bacterial small subunit ribosomal RNA", at positions 791 to 1300 of the family's 1533-position model. The record is from RNAcentral.
UAGUCCACGCCGUAAACGAUGGACACUAGUUGUUGGGAUUUAUCUCAGUGACUAAGCGAAAGUGAUAAGUGUCCCACCUGGGGAGUACGGUCGCAAGAUUGAAACUCAAAGGAAUUGACGGGGGCCCGCACAAGCGGUGGAGCAUGUGGUUUAAUUCGAUGAUACGCGAGGAACCUUACCAGGGCUUAAAUGUAGAUUGCAUUAGUCAGAGAUGACUAUUUCUUCGGACUAUCUACAAGGUGCUGCAUGGUUGUCGUCAGCUCGUGCCGUGAGGUGUCAGGUUAAGUCCUAUAACGAGCGCAACCCCUAUUUUAGUUGCCAUCAUUUAGUUGGGCACUCUAGAGAAACUGCCGGUGACAAACCGGAGGAAGGUAAGGAUGACGUCAAGUCAGCAUGCCCCUUACGCUCUGGGCUACACACGUGCUACAAUGGUCGUGACAAAGAGUUGCUAGUCUGCGAAGGCAAGCCAAUCUCAUAAACGCGGCCUUAGUUCGGAUUG